UGCGGGGACGGGGGCAGGGCGGCGUCUGCUGCUGCUGCGGGGUGGCCCCCUCCUCAGGCCACCCUCUCCCUGCGGCUGGGGACUCCAGAUGGACGAGGGCCCACCCCACCCGGCGCUUCCCCGUGCGACCCGGUGUCGCGGCGGGCGGCGAGGCCAGCGGCUCCCCGUCGCCCCUACCUUACCUUCCCUGUCUUUCUCGUCCGCCAUCUUGCUGCGGAGCCGGUCGCCUGGGAGAUGCCUAACGAUAACCUCGGCCGCGGUGUCCCGGCCUGCUCAGCGCCCCGCGGCGAGCCUGGCCUGGAGGAGGGGCCGCUCCGAAUUCUGGGGGAGGAAGACCCUUGGGCGGGGCGGGGAGAAGCCUCCGAGCGCGCGCCGCGUCCCCGCUUCCCGCCACGACCCUCGCGCUGGGGGAAGACCAGAAGCCGCGUCUGCCACCCGGCCCCCAACUUAGUCCCUGCAGACCCGAGGCCGGAGCCCGACUAGUCCCGGGUCUAGCAGUGUUACUUCAUCACACGGUCCCCAGCCCCUCCUUUCCCUUAUUUCUCAUCCAUUUGGGGACAGCACGCGCGCGCACACACCCUCGCCCCUCCUGUCCUGUUUGUGCGACGUGGCGUUGCUCGAUUUUUGUUGUGAACUGCAGAUUUUGAAAAGCGCCGGAGAGCUAGGUGAAGAGCUGGGCUCCCGAGGGGGUGACAGAACCAGCCCGCGGCCCGGCCUCCUCCUCCCGCUUCCCAUCGGCCCGGCUGCUGCAGAACGGCCGCGCCUGCCCUCCCGGUUUCUCCCGUCCAGUCCUCACGGUCCUUUCCCAGAGAAAGCGGCAGCACAGCCUAUGACAACUAAGCUGAAACGGAAAAACUGGGCCGGGCGCAAGAGGAAACCAGAGCCAUUCGACUAUUAUUACUAGAGGAGAGGAAUAGCUGUAGAAAAACAUGCGCAAAAUAGGCACAAACAUUGCGUCGUCAAGGCUGCAAUGUCUCAUACAAAAUAGAAGGUUCUCAUAGCAACAAAAACGUGCCCAUGUUGUGCUCAGUGUUAACAUGCGUUAAAAUGUUCUUAGUUGUGAAAUUUGACAUGACCGCUGGUUAAAGUUGCAAUGGAAGUUUUAAAUCCUGCUUUCCGGAAACUCUGCAGCCAUAGCAUGAGGUUAAAUUUUUCUUAUUUUCAGGACAAGUUUACUCUACUGGAAUAUAGUAAAGCUCUUUUUAUAAAGAGCUUUGAAUAAAAUACCUAACGAUGUGGUUCAAACGAACACAUUUUCAAAACUAAUCUUAAAUGGUAUUUCAGUGCAUAUGUUAUGUAAAAGCAAUUUAUAAACUAAACUAAAUUUUAAGAGCCUUCAAAAUACAAAGUACUCGUAUUUAAUGACUUAACAGUUUUAAUGCUUUUAUUCUGUUUCUAUAAUCUCUCAGGAAAUCCUGACUAUAUUUUUAUUAAAAUAACUUUUUCUGUAGAAGAUACCCAUUUGGUGCUGUGAUCAGCAUUCUGCCUGAAAUUGAAUAUAAACAACUGAAUCAUUACAAAAUGGCUCAUGUUAGAAGAUACUUAAAACGAAUACAAUCUUGUACAGUAAAUUUUUAACACCCCAAAAUAACGAAAAGUAAUUAUUAGCAUUCAUUUAUAUCUACAUCUCAGUCAAUAUGAUCUAAAUAUUUGUGUUUAAAGACUCCCCCUCUCCAUAUAGAUUACGAAGGGCUUUGAAAUAAGUGUAGGAAACCCUAAGCUUGGUCUCAGGCUUGCUAUUCAUUCACUAUGCUUUUUCGUCUGCUGUUUACAGUUUCCUUUUUCUGGAGUGUCUGUCUCUGCUCUCUCCCCCGCCAUCAUUUCAGCUUCCCACAAACACACAUUUGUCCCCUCCUGGUUGUCAUGCAGGAUGACUGUCUUUGUUUU
Molecule: RNA transcript, 1887 nt
Organism: Cercocebus atys (sooty mangabey)
Lineage: Eukaryota; Metazoa; Chordata; Mammalia; Primates; Cercopithecidae
Exons: 1
Source: RefSeq, a predicted model, not a curated record